Molecule: ribosomal RNA, 380 nt
Filed under: uncultured archaeon
Lineage: Archaea
Description: bacterial SSU rRNA
Rfam family: Archaeal small subunit ribosomal RNA
Source: RNAcentral
ACUUUACAAUGCUGGCAACAGCGAUAAGGGAACCUCGAGUGCCAGGUUACAAAUCUGGCUGUCGAGAUGCCUAAAAAGCAGUUCAGAGCAAGGGCAGGGAAAGAGGGGGGAAAGGAGAAGAGGGAAAAAGGGAGGAGAGAGGGGGAAAGGGGAGGAGGGGGUCUAAAGGGUCUGUAGCCGGCCGGAUAAGUCUCUUGAGAAAUCUGGCAGCUUAACUGUCAGGCUUUCAGGAGAUACUGUCUGGCUCGAGGCCGGGAGAGGUGAGAGGUACUUCCGGGGUAGGGGUGAAAUCUUGUAAUCCUUGAAGGACCACCAGUGGCGAAGGCGUCUCACCAGAACGGACCUGACGGCAAGGGACGAAAGCUAGGGGCACGAACCGG